UGUAGUAAUACAAGGCAGACGGCUCAGUAACGCGUAGUCAACCUACCCUAUGGACGGGGAUAACCUCGGGAAACUGAGAAUAAUACCCGAUAGAACAUUAUGCCUGGAAUGGUUUAUGUUUCAAAUAAUUUAUUGCCGUAGGAUGGGACUGCGGCCUAUCAGUUUGUUGGUGAGGUAAUGGCCCACCAAGACUAUUACAGGUACGGGCUCUGAGAGGAGUAGCCCGGAGAUGGGUACUGAGACACGGACCCAGGCCCUAUGGGGCGCAGCAGGCGAGAAAACUUUGCAAUGUGCGAAAGCACGACAAGGUUAAUCCGAGUGGUUUCUGCUAAAGGAACCUUUUGUCAGUCCUAGAAACACUGGUGAAUAAGGGGUGGGCAAGUUCUGGUGUCAGCCGCCGCGGUAAAACCAGCACCUCAAGUGGUCAGGAUGAUCAUUGGGCCUAAAGCAUCCGUAGCCUGCUUUGUAAGUUUUCGGUUAAAUCCAUACGCUCAACGUAUGGGCUGCCGGGAAUACUGCAAAGCUAGGGAGUGGGAGAGGUAGACGGUACUCGGUAGGAAGGGGUAAAAUCCUUUGAUCUAUUGAUGACCACCUGUGGCGAAGGCGGUCUACCAGAACACGUCCGACGGUGAGGGAUGAAAGCUGGGGGAGCAAACCGGAUUAGAUACCCGGGUAGUCCCAGCUGUAAACUAUGCAAACUCAGUGAUGCAUUGGCUUGAUGCCAAUGCAGUGCUGCAGGGAAGCCGUUAAGUUUGCCGCCUGGGAAGUACGUACGCAAGUAUGAAACUUAAAGGAAUUGGCGGGGGAGCACCACAAGGGGUGAAGCCUGCGGUUCAAUUGGA
Molecule: ribosomal RNA, 842 nt
Filed under: uncultured archaeon
Lineage: Archaea
Description: bacterial SSU rRNA
Rfam family: Archaeal small subunit ribosomal RNA
Source: RNAcentral